Molecule: transfer RNA, 85 nt
Filed under: Actinomycetes bacterium
Lineage: Bacteria; Bacillati; Actinomycetota; Actinomycetes
Description: Actinobacteria bacterium tRNA-Tyr
Rfam family: tRNA
About the family: Transfer RNA (tRNA) molecules are approximately 80 nucleotides in length. Their secondary structure includes four short double-helical elements and three loops (D, anti-codon, and T loops). Further hydrogen bonds mediate the characteristic L-shaped molecular structure. tRNAs have two regions of fundamental functional importance: the anti-codon, which is responsible for specific mRNA codon recognition, and the 3' end, to which the tRNAs corresponding amino acid is attached (by aminoacyl-tRNA synthetases). tRNAs cope with the degeneracy of the genetic code in two manners: having more than one tRNA (with a specific anti-codon) for a particular amino acid; and 'wobble' base-pairing, i.e. permitting non-standard base-pairing at the 3rd anti-codon position.
Source: RNAcentral
GGGAGGAUACCGAAGUGGCCAAACGGGCCUGACUGUAAAUCAGGUGGCUCAGCCUUCAGAGGUUCGAACCCUCUUCCUCCCACGA